RNAcentral lists this ribosomal RNA (440 nucleotides) under uncultured bacterium. RNAcentral describes it as "partial 16S ribosomal RNA". It matches the Rfam family "Bacterial small subunit ribosomal RNA", at positions 338 to 795 of the family's 1533-position model. The record is from RNAcentral.
CCUACGGGAGGCAGCAGUGGGGAAUAUUGCACAAUGGGGGAAACCCUGAUGCAGCGACGCCGCGUGAGUGAAGAAGUAUUUCGGUAUGUAAAGCUCUAUCAGCAGGGAAGAAAAUGACGGUACCUGACUAAGAAGCCCCGGCUAACUACGUGCCAGCAGCCGCGGUAAUACGUAGGGGGCAAGCGUUAUCCGGAUUUACUGGGUGUAAAGGGAGCGUAGACGGCCAGACAAGCCAGAUGUGAAAGCCCAGGGCUCAACCCCGGGACUGCUUUUGAAACUGCGGGGCUAGAGUGCAGGAGAGGUAAGCGGAAUUCCUAGUGUAGCGGUGAAAUGCGUAGAUAUUAGGAGGAACACCAGUGGCGAAGGCGGCUUACUGGACUGUAACUGACGUUGAGGCUCGAAAGCGUGGGGAGCAAACAGGAUUAGAUACCCCUGUAGUC